UGGAAAUGAAACAGUCUUUAAUGUCUA
RNAcentral lists this non-coding RNA (27 nucleotides) under Mus musculus (house mouse). The record is from RNAcentral. Lineage: Eukaryota; Metazoa; Chordata; Mammalia; Rodentia; Muridae.